Molecule: transfer RNA, 71 nt
Filed under: Bacteroides stercoris
Lineage: Bacteria; Pseudomonadati; Bacteroidota; Bacteroidia; Bacteroidales; Bacteroidaceae
Rfam family: tRNA
About the family: Transfer RNA (tRNA) molecules are approximately 80 nucleotides in length.
Source: Rfam by way of RNAcentral
ACUCGGCUCGUCUAUCGGAAGGACAUCUGUCUUUCGAGCAGAAAAGAAUGGUUCAACUCCAUUGCCGAGAG